GACCUAGCGGCGGACGGGUGAGUAAUGCUUAGGAAUCUGCCUAUUAGUGGGGGACAACAUUCCGAAAGGAAUGCUAAUACCGCAUACGCCCUACGGGGGAAAGCAGGGGAUCUUCGGACCUUGCGCUAAUAGAUGAGCCUAAGUCAGAUUAGCUAGUUGGUGGGGUAAAAGCCCACCAAGGCGACGA
RNAcentral lists this ribosomal RNA (187 nucleotides) under Conticribra weissflogii. Its description in RNAcentral is "partial Bacterial small subunit ribosomal RNA". It matches the Rfam family "Bacterial small subunit ribosomal RNA", at positions 89 to 279 of the family's 1533-position model. Lineage: Eukaryota; Bacillariophyta; Thalassiosirophyceae; Thalassiosirales; Thalassiosiraceae. The record is from RNAcentral.